UGAGGAAUUUUCCGCAAUGGGCGCAAGCCUGACGGAGCGACGCCGCGUGAGGGAUGAAGGCUUUCGGGUUGUAAACCUCUUUUGCUUGGGAAAAAGGUCUUCGUGCUCAUACCACGGAGAUUUGAUGGUACUAAGCGAAUAAGCCCCGGCUAACUACGUGCCAGCAGCCGCGGUAAUACGUAGGGGCGAGCGUUGUCCGGAAUUACUGGGCGUAAAGGGCGUGUAGGCUGUUGGGUAAGUCUGGUGUGAAAUGCUACGGCUCAACCGUGGCACUGCGCUGGAAACUGCCUGACUGGAGUGCAGGAGGGGUCACUGGAAUCCCCGGUGUAACGGUGAAAUGUGUAGAUAUCGGGGGGAACACCUGUGGCGAAGGCGGGUGACUGGCCUGCAACGUGACGC
Molecule: ribosomal RNA, 399 nt
Filed under: uncultured bacterium
Lineage: Bacteria
Description: bacterial SSU rRNA
Rfam family: Bacterial small subunit ribosomal RNA
Source: RNAcentral